Molecule: ribosomal RNA, 253 nt
Filed under: uncultured bacterium
Lineage: Bacteria
Description: partial 16S ribosomal RNA
Rfam family: Bacterial small subunit ribosomal RNA
Source: RNAcentral
GACAGAGGGUGCAAACGUUGCUCGGAAUCACUGGGCGUAAAGGGCGUGUAGGCGGGCAGGAAAGUCAGAUGGGAAAUCCCUGGGCUCAACCCAGGAACUGCAUUUGAAACUCCCUUUCUUGAGUACCGGAGAGGAAGGUGGAAUGCCUGGUGUAGAGGUGAAAUUCGUAGAUAUCAGGCGGAACACCAGUGGCGAAGGCGGCCUUCUGGACGGUAACUGACGCUGAGACGCGAAAGCGUGGGGAGCAAACAGG